GACGAACCGGGCGAACGUUGUUCGGAAUAACUGGGCUUAAAGGGCGCGUAGGCGGGCCGCCAAGUCCGAGGUGAAAUCCUCCGGCUCAACCGGAGAACUGCCUCGGAUACUGGAGGCCUGGAGGGGGGUAGGGGCACGCGGAACUGUGGGUGGAGCGGUGAAAUGCGUUGAUAUCCACAGGAACUCCGGUGGCGAAGGCGGCGUGCUGGACCCCACCUGACGCUGAGGCGCGAAAGCCAGGGGAGCAAACGGG
This 253-nucleotide ribosomal RNA is filed under the name uncultured bacterium. RNAcentral describes it as "partial 16S ribosomal RNA". It matches the Rfam family "Bacterial small subunit ribosomal RNA", at positions 524 to 776 of the family's 1533-position model. The record is from RNAcentral.